CCUACGGGGGGCAGCAGUCGAGAAUCAUUCACAAUGGGGGAAACCCUGAUGGUGCGACGCCGCGUGGGGGAAUGAAGGUCUUCGGAUUGUAAACCCCUGUCAUGUGGGAGCAAAUUAAAAAGAUAGUACCACAAGAGGAAGAGACGGCUAACUCUGUGCCAGCAGCCGCGGUAAUACAGGGGGCUCAAGCGUUGUUCGGAAUCACUGGGCGUAAGGCGUGCGUAGGCUGUUUCGUAAGUCGUGUGUGAAAGGCGCGGGCUCAACCCGCGGACGGCACAUGAUACUGCGAGACUAGAGUAAUGGAGGGGGAACCGGAAUUCUCGGUGUAGCAGUGAAAUGCGUAGAUAUCGAGAGGAACACUCGUGGCGAAGGCGGGUUCCUGGACAUUAACUGACGCUGAGGCACGAAGGCCAGGGGAGCGAAAGGGAUUAGAUACCCCGGUAGUC
This 446-nucleotide ribosomal RNA is filed under the name uncultured bacterium. RNAcentral describes it as "partial 16S ribosomal RNA". It matches the Rfam family "Bacterial small subunit ribosomal RNA", at positions 338 to 795 of the family's 1533-position model. The record is from RNAcentral.